GUUGUUUACUCUCCCUCAAGGGCUUCUGAUCUAAUCCAUGUAAACACCCGAUGGGGUUAUUGAGGGGCGAGGCUGGAGGCCAGAAGCUCUUCGAGGGAGAGAUAACAA
Molecule: microRNA precursor, 108 nt
Filed under: Olea europaea subsp. europaea
Lineage: Eukaryota; Viridiplantae; Streptophyta; Magnoliopsida; Lamiales; Oleaceae
Source: RNAcentral